Molecule: ribosomal RNA, 468 nt
Filed under: uncultured bacterium
Lineage: Bacteria
Description: partial 16S ribosomal RNA
Rfam family: Bacterial small subunit ribosomal RNA
Source: RNAcentral
GACGAACGCUGGCGGCGUGCUUAACACAUGCAAGUCGAACGGAAAGGCCCUGCUUUUGUGGGGUGCUCGAGUGGCGAACGGGUGAGUAACACGUGAGUAACCUGCCCUUGACUUUGGGAUAACUUCAGGAAACUGGGGCUAAUACCGGAUAGGAGCUCCUGCUGCAUGGGGUGGGUUGGAAAGUUUCGGCGGUUGGGGAUGGACUCGCGGCUUAUCAGCUUGUUGGUGGGGUAGUGGCUUACCAAGGCUUUGACGGGUAGCCGGCCUGAGAGGGUGACCGGCCACAUUGGGACUGAGAUACGGCCCAGACUCCUACGGGAGGCAGCAGUGGGGAAUAUUGCACAAUGGGCGGAAGCCUGAUGCAGCAACGCCGCGUGCGGGAUGACGGCCUUCGGGUUGUAAACCGCUUUCGCCUGUGACGAAGCGUGAGUGACGGUAAUGGGUAAAGAAGCACCGGCUAACUACGUG